RNAcentral lists this ribosomal RNA (732 nucleotides) under uncultured bacterium. RNAcentral's name for it is "bacterial SSU rRNA". It matches the Rfam family "Bacterial small subunit ribosomal RNA", at positions 28 to 776 of the family's 1533-position model. The record is from RNAcentral.
GAUGAACGCUGACAGAAUGCUUAACACAUGCAAGUCUACUUGAAGCUAACUUCGGUUAGUGGAGGGUGGCGGACGGGUGAGUAACGCGUAAAGAACUUGCCUCACAGUUUGGGACAACAUUUGGAAACGAAUGCUAAUACUAAAUAUUAUGAUACUUCUGCAUGGAAGAAUCAUGAAAGCUAUAUGCGCUGUGAGAGAGCUUUGCGUCCCAUUAGCUAGUUGGAGAGGUAACGGCUCACCAAGGCGAUGAUGGGUAGCCGGCCUGAGAGGGUGAACGGCCACAAGGGGACUGAGACACGGCCCUUACUCCUACGGGAGGCAGCAGUGGGGAAUAUUGGACAAUGGACCAAGAGUCUGAUCCAGCAAUUCUGUGUGCACGAUGAAGUUUUUCGGAAUGUAAAGUGCUUUCAGUUGGGAAGAAGCAAGUGACGGUACCAACAGAAGAAGCGACGGCUAAAUACGUGCCAGCAGCCGCGGUAAUACGUAUGUCGCAAGCGUUAUCCGGAUUUAUUGGGCGUAAAGCGCGUCUAGGUGGUUAUGUAAGUCUGAUGUGAAAAUGCGGGGCUCAACUCCGUAUUGCGUUGGAAACUGUAUGACUAGAGUACUGGAGAGGUAAGCGGAACUACAAGUGUAGAGGUGAAAUUCGUAGAUAUUUGUAGGAAUGCCGAUGGGGAAGCCAGCUUACUGGACAGAUACUGACGCUAAAGCGCGAAAGCGUGGGUAGCAAACAGG